UGCCAGCAGCCGCGGUAAUACGGAGGGUGCAAGCGUUGUUCGGAAUUAUUGGGCGUAAAGAGCAUGUAGGCGGACUAUUAAGUCUGAUGUGAAAGCCCGGGGCUCAACCCCGGAAGUGCAUUGGAUACUGGUAGUCUCGAGUAUGGGAGAGGAAAGUGGAAUUCCGAGUGUAGGAGUGAAAUCCGUAGAUAUUCGGAGGAACACCAGUGGCGAAGGCGGCUUUCUGGACCGAUACUGACGCUGAGGUGCGAAAGUGUGGGGAGCAAACAGGAUUAGAUA
RNAcentral lists this ribosomal RNA (279 nucleotides) under uncultured bacterium. Its description in RNAcentral is "partial 16S ribosomal RNA". It matches the Rfam family "Bacterial small subunit ribosomal RNA", at positions 506 to 784 of the family's 1533-position model. The record is from RNAcentral.